UUCUGGAUGAUGUAAUCUCCUAGAUGAAUAGUGAAUAUCAACUGAAGACGCUGUCUGCCUUAGAGGAUACAUUCCUUCAGAGGGUCCACAUUGUGAGAAACCAUCAUAUAGGUAGCGUUGCCAUGGAUGCGCCUCCGGGCGCCGGCGCGUCACUUCCGCGGAGACGCCAGUGACGUCAGUCUGGAUGCCGGGAUGGCGCGCCCAGCGGCACACGCUUGAGGGGAUGUUCCUAAUGGGGAAAUUGGUGAAUCGAUCAGGUUGAUUUCUAAAUUCAUCCGAAUUUCAUUCAUUUUGCUAAAAAUGUACCAAAUAUAUCAAAGGGAGAAUCGGGAAACCGUUUACAGAAAUGGGUGGAGAGGAGACCAGUGUUCUGGAACAUAUCAUCUGUUAUAUUAUUAUUCCCUAUGGGAGUUGAUAGCACAGCAAGCACAGGGCCGUCUUCCCACACAGAGACUUGAGCUUGUCCUGCUUUACUAAGUAAUAAAGUCAAAUAAAACACCAGCCUUCCGGGGAGAAGAGGGAAGAGGUUGCUGCUGCCUGCACCCACCGCCAGCCAGAGGAGUUACAGCACAGACUGGGACUGACAUGCUGGCAGUGCCAUCCUCCCACCAAACACCGCCCCACUAAGCCUUGCCCCCUCACAGAAAGAGGUGUGGCCUCGAAGCAGUGUGGCCCACUACGGAUUCACCCGAUUCCACACCGUGCCAGUACAACUGAACAUUUAUUACCAGUUAUUAUUAUAGAGAAUAUAUGGUCUGUCUCAGUGGACCUUACAAUCUAUGUUUUCUCCCACAUGUACACACACAUACAAUUCAACUACCAGUAAAGAUAUUUGGAUUGUGGGAGGAAACCAUGGGGAGAAUAUACAAACUCCAAACAGUUAGAGCCGCAUUGGGAAUCAAACCCACAACAUCAGCGCUGUGAGGCAGUAAUGCUAACCAUUACACCAUCCAUGGUGCAUAUACAUGAAUAUGUUAUUUUUGCAUGCAUUCUUAUACGUAAAUUCGAUGUACAAAUAUGUACAACCAUAGAUGACAUUUGCUGUUUAUUAUCUCUAAUUUGAUACACAUUUCUGUCUUUUAUGAAUGUAAAAGGUCUGUAAAUAGAUGAGCUUUUUCUCUGCAUAAUAUACUGUUGCUAAAGGAGAGAUUUUAUGAUUUAUAUUAGUGAUUUGUCAUAAAAAGCAGACCUGCAUAGAUCAUCCUCUUUAAAAGUAUUUUAAAACUAAUCAAAGUGUAUUCAGUUUGUACAAGUGGAAAAUUAAUGAUUAGAUUUUAUUUUGAUUGAUCGCCAAAUACUGCAAACAUUU
Molecule: long non-coding RNA, 1309 nt
Organism: Pseudophryne corroboree (corroboree frog)
Lineage: Eukaryota; Metazoa; Chordata; Amphibia; Anura; Myobatrachidae
Exons: 3
Source: RefSeq, a predicted model, not a curated record